Molecule: ribosomal RNA, 2926 nt
Filed under: Staphylococcus aureus
Lineage: Bacteria; Bacillati; Bacillota; Bacilli; Caryophanales; Staphylococcaceae
Description: 23S ribosomal RNA
Rfam family: Bacterial large subunit ribosomal RNA
Source: RNAcentral
AGAUUAAGUUAUUAAGGGCGCACGGUGGAUGCCUUGGCACUAGAAGCCGAUGAAGGACGUUACUAACGACGAUAUGCUUUGGGGAGCUGUAAGUAAGCUUUGAUCCAGAGAUUUCCGAAUGGGGAAACCCAGCAUGAGUUAUGUCAUGUUAUCCAUAUGUGAAUACAUAGCAUAUCAGAAGGCAUACCCGGAGAACUGAAACAUCUUAGUACCCGGAGGAAGAGAAAGAAAAUUCGAUUCCCUUAGUAGCGGCGAGCGAAACGGGAAGAGCCCAAACCAACAAGCUUGCUUGUUGGGGUUGUAGGACACUCUAUACGGAGUUACAAAGGACGACAUUAGACGAAUCAUCUGGAAAGAUGAAUCAAAGAAGGUAAUAAUCCUGUAGUCGAAAAUGUUGUCUCUCUUGAGUGGAUCCUGAGUACGACGGAGCACGUGAAAUUCCGUCGGAAUCUGGGAGGACCAUCUCCUAAGGCUAAAUACUCUCUAGUGACCGAUAGUGAACCAGUACCGUGAGGGAAAGGUGAAAAGCACCCCGGAAGGGGAGUGAAAUAGAACCUGAAACCGUGUGCUUACAAGUAGUCAGAGCCCGUUAAUGGGUGAUGGCGUGCCUUUUGUAGAAUGAACCGGCGAGUUACGAUUUGAUGCAAGGUUAAGCAGUAAAUGUGGAGCCGUAGCGAAAGCGAGUCUGAAUAGGGCGUUUAGUAUUUGGUCGUAGACCCGAAACCAGGUGAUCUACCCUUGGUCAGGUUGAAGUUCAGGUAACACUGAAUGGAGGACCGAACCGACUUACGUUGAAAAGUGAGCGGAUGAACUGAGGGUAGCGGAGAAAUUCCAAUCGAACCUGGAGAUAGCUGGUUCUCUCCGAAAUAGCUUUAGGGCUAGCCUCAAGUGAUGAUUAUUGGAGGUAGAGCACUGUUUGGACGAGGGGCCCCUCUCGGGUUACCGAAUUCAGACAAACUCCGAAUGCCAAUUAAUUUAACUUGGGAGUCAGAACAUGGGUGAUAAGGUCCGUGUUCGAAAGGGAAACAGCCCAGACCACCAGCUAAGGUCCCAAAAUAUAUGUUAAGUGGAAAAGGAUGUGGCGUUGCCCAGACAACUAGGAUGUUGGCUUAGAAGCAGCCAUCAUUUAAAGAGUGCGUAAUAGCUCACUAGUCGAGUGACACUGCGCCGAAAAUGUACCGGGGCUAAACAUAUUACCGAAGCUGUGGAUUGUCCUUUGGACAAUGGUAGGAGAGCGUUCUAAGGGCGUUGAAGCAUGAUCGUAAGGACAUGUGGAGCGCUUAGAAGUGAGAAUGCCGGUGUGAGUAGCGAAAGACGGGUGAGAAUCCCGUCCACCGAUUGACUAAGGUUUCCAGAGGAAGGCUCGUCCGCUCUGGGUUAGUCGGGUCCUAAGCUGAGGCCGACAGGCGUAGGCGAUGGAUAACAGGUUGAUAUUCCUGUACCACCUAUAAUCGUUUUAAUCGAUGGGGGACGCAGUAGGAUAGGCGAAGCGUGCGAUUGGAUUGCACGUCUAAGCAGUAAGGCUGAGUAUUAGGCAAAUCCGGUACUCGUUAAGGCUGAGCUGUGAUGGGGAGAAGACAUUGUGUCUUCGAGUCGUUGAUUUCACACUGCCGAGAAAAGCCUCUAGAUAGAAAAUAGGUGCCCGUACCGCAAACCGACACAGGUAGUCAAGAUGAGAAUUCUAAGGUGAGCGAGCGAACUCUCGUUAAGGAACUCGGCAAAAUGACCCCGUAACUUCGGGAGAAGGGGUGCUCUUUAGGGUUAACGCCCAGAAGAGCCGCAGUGAAUAGGCCCAAGCGACUGUUUAUCAAAAACACAGGUCUCUGCUAAACCGUAAGGUGAUGUAUAGGGGCUGACGCCUGCCCGGUGCUGGAAGGUUAAGAGGAGUGGUUAGCUUCUGCGAAGCUACGAAUCGAAGCCCCAGUAAACGGCGGCCGUAACUAUAACGGUCCUAAGGUAGCGAAAUUCCUUGUCGGGUAAGUUCCGACCCGCACGAAAGGCGUAACGAUUUGGGCACUGUCUCAACGAGAGACUCGGUGAAAUCAUAGUACCUGUGAAGAUGCAGGUUACCCGCGACAGGACGGAAAGACCCCGUGGAGCUUUACUGUAGCCUGAUAUUGAAAUUCGGCACAGCUUGUACAGGAUAGGUAGGAGCCUUUGAAACGUGAGCGCUAGCUUACGUGGAGGCGCUGGUGGGAUACUACCCUAGCUGUGUUGGCUUUCUAACCCGCACCACUUAUCGUGGUGGGAGACAGUGUCAGGCGGGCAGUUUGACUGGGGCGGUCGCCUCCUAAAAGGUAACGGAGGCGCUCAAAGGUUCCCUCAGAAUGGUUGGAAAUCAUUCAUAGAGUGUAAAGGCAUAAGGGAGCUUGACUGCGAGACCUACAAGUCGAGCAGGGUCGAAAGACGGACUUAGUGAUCCGGUGGUUCCGCAUGGAAGGGCCAUCGCUCAACGGAUAAAAGCUACCCCGGGGAUAACAGGCUUAUCUCCCCCAAGAGUUCACAUCGACGGGGAGGUUUGGCACCUCGAUGUCGGCUCAUCGCAUCCUGGGGCUGUAGUCGGUCCCAAGGGUUGGGCUGUUCGCCCAUUAAAGCGGUACGCGAGCUGGGUUCAGAACGUCGUGAGACAGUUCGGUCCCUAUCCGUCGUGGGCGUAGGAAAUUUGAGAGGAGCUGUCCUUAGUACGAGAGGACCGGGAUGGACAUACCUCUGGUGUACCAGUUGUCGUGCCAACGGCAUAGCUGGGUAGCUAUGUGUGGACGGGAUAAGUGCUGAAAGCAUCUAAGCAUGAAGCCCCCCUCAAGAUGAGAUUUCCCAACUUCGGUUAUAAGAUCCCUCAAAGAUGAUGAGGUUAAUAGGUUCGAGGUGGAAGCAUGGUGACAUGUGGAGCUGACGAAUACUAAUCGAUCGAAGACUUAAUCAAAUU